Gasterosteus aculeatus aculeatus (three-spined stickleback) is the source of this 5898-nucleotide long non-coding RNA. NCBI's taxonomy places the organism in Eukaryota, Metazoa, Chordata, Actinopteri, Perciformes, Gasterosteidae. The record is from Ensembl.
CACACACACACACACACACCAGAAACUUUCCAACCUACGCAGACAUCUUCAUUUAUUGCCAUGAGAACGGUCAAAAACAUUCCCGCCCUUUCUUCUCCGUAAAACCCCUGAAGUCAAUCACACACAUGCAAACACAUGAGAAAUCUGGAGUCAGUCAAACCGACCGUGAUGUGCAGAGCCAAGACCUUGAAAAACAAAAACACACUGUAGGUGUUGUCACUUUCUGUGCAGGUCACUGGACAGUCAUUAUGAAUUACCAGGUUUUUGGGGGUGUUUAUGGAUGAUGGUACUUUUAUUGCCUUCGUGUUGGAUGCAAAAAUCAUUACAGGAGUAGCGUAAUAUUGUAUUGUUACACAUCAAGAAAUUAUGUUUUUUAAUCUAAGCGAUUAAUAUUGAUGUGUGCGCCGGUUUGUUUUGUGUGUUUAAGAGAGAACAUUAAACAUUAAACAACACUCCCCUCUCAUAUCUGCUAAAAAGGGCCUUAAUUCUGCGACGAUGGAGCGUUUUGGAUAUGGAAAUUUCGAGGGUCCAAUUGAACUUUGAGCUCUGUUGCCGAUCGUCCCCGACUUAGAUUUAGGGACACAAACGUAAACUCAAGAUCUACAUUGACGCUUCCCAGUGUCUGGUCUGACAAUGCUGCAUUGUAAACCGGUAAUCUGGCUCGUGGUGCUUUCAAGAUCCAUCCAGUUAAAGUGAUUAGUGGACUCUGUAAAUGAUGACAUUCCCAAGAUGUUUUCACAUGUAACCUUUUCAAAUGUUGUUUUUGGUGAGAACUAAUUGAAUAAUCCAAGUUACCUUCAUUUAGGUUUUUGAAUCAAGCUUGGAACACCUGACGUCGUAUUUUAGGAAAAUGUUUGUAAUUCAUCAUAAUCAUAAACAUUAAAUAUAAGUCUUGAUUGCUUCCAGACCCCCACCGUGCUUUGUGUGAGGCAGGACGGAGAGCAAACAGCUUUCUGUCCGCAGUGAAAGUUUUGUUUUUGAAAGGCUUAACCCUAAAAAUGUGGAUUGAAGUAGGAUAUUUUAUACACAGUUAUAUGUUGUGGAUUUGGGAAAUAAUUACAUCUAUCUUUUUUCAAUGUUUGUUGACUUUCAGACAUAAUAACACUCAGGAGGCAUUGGAAACGUUUGGCUCUCAUGAGUCUACGCAGCCGCUGUGCACACUGCACAAACCUACUGGAUAUGAGAAAAAUGAAACACAGCAACGCAGAUCAUUUCCACAGAACCGGCUGCACAUCGUCUUCGGUAGUCUUAACUUUGAGAAAUAAAGACUCGUCCAGUUUUCCCUGGUGUCACGUGGAGGAGUCACCUGAUCCGUGCGAUAUGUCAGCUUGCUGAGGGUGUUUGAACACAGCUGACACUUAAGAUGACCCUCGCCUGCCCUGCCCCUCCCUCCACGUUACCGCCCCUUUAUCUCCCCAAAUCCCUUGUGUUUUGUGAUGUUUUGGACUCGGCAUUGCCAUAACAAACACAUUGUUGCUGUGGUUACGUUUCUCACAGUCCCAGGAAAAACAACACUGAGCAACAUUUCUGAGAAUGAGAUGGUCUUUAAGUCCCAGGGCUACAAGUGUUGCUUAAUACAUGAUUUUAGUAAUAGGUUUGGGAGACCAAUUCUAUUAUUAAUUCUAUUUGGUGCAGGAGAGGAUGUUAAGAGUGAGGUUAAGCGCCAAAGAAAUGCCCUUUUUUUUCCUACACAGAAACCGUAAUGUCUUUUUCUGUUACGUCAACCUGUUUCUGUAUGAUUUCCCCACAUGAGCUCACUUCCUUCUGCUCCCUGAUACCACCUGACCGCGACGGACUCCUGGCAAACGUAACAUAUGUCAAGUGCAUGAGGUCUGUAGGUGUCUGAGGGACUUGGUAUGGUUUGUGUGUGUGUGUGUGUGUGUGUGAGAGUAAAAGAUAACCCUGUGGUUUGGGGCUUAGAGCUAAUCUAAUUGAAUUAACGUAAUAUUCCUCACACCAUUUUCAGAUUUUUCCAUGAACAAUUGCUCGAUACUCUUUUGGCUUGAGCUGUACAGUGUGCGUGCUGCCUGUGUGUAAUCAUGCUGUGGGGAUUCUGAGCUGAGGGACGGAGGUGUGGCGAGGUUAAGAGGUCAAAGGUGGGCUCAUAUUCUGCAGUAACUAGCGCUUCCCUGAGGAUGAGAAGAACAAUUGAGCUUUGGCCAGCCAUCUCCUGCAUGUACUCACAACAUGAGUCUACAGUAUGCAUACAAGUGCUACGGUUAGGAGUUCCCACAGAUCCAUUUUUCAAGAUGACAAAUCAGACUGUAAUAACAAAGUACUGUGUCCUAACAUUGUCACUAUCCCUUCACUUCCAUAUACUCAGGAGGACUAAUUUGGUCAUUACAAGAAAACCUACGUUCUAACUUGCCCUCUGCAGACAUCUUUUAGUAGAUAAUUUAUAUUUAUUUAUUAAACAUAUUUGUUUCACAUUUAAAUUUAAUUCUCAAUUAAAGCGGACAUUUAUUUGCAUUCGAUAUGUUCAUCGUUAUCAAAGCGUUAUACAAUUGAGGUUGAAUCCAGGCCCCAGUAGAUCUGGGAAAAGCCAUCAUGAAGUUUAUGAAAGGUAGGAACGAAUGGAUUUGGAGUGUUUUACCUUUGUUAAAGUUGUGACUUAACCACAAAAAAUAAUGCCCCCAAUGUGUGUGUGAAGACCUUUGAAGGGACUUGUGGGAGUUGUAGGUGCUGUUCGACAAUUUUGAGAUAUGUGUGAGUCAAGCAGGAAUCUGAGCAGUACAGCAGCCUGGAGGGAAAGACAGAGUAAAACUACGGAAGCUGGUUCAUAUUUAGAAAAUGACAGAAAGUGACGCUCGGACUCUUUGCCACUGGGAGCAAUUGCCCCGUGAUGUCAAACCAAAGACGCUGUUUGUACCCAAGACGCCUGGUUCACAGAGUGUGACAGCAGGAUCUGGUGGUUCAUCCUUCCAAAGGCUGCUGACAGGUCCAGCGAGAUGAGGACACAUGACCUGCUACAUGUGUUGCAGAACAUACGCCAGUUCUUCAAAGUACUCGCAAGAGUGCCGUUCUAACUGUUGAAUGUUUUUGAAUUAUGAACCCGUUUCAACACUAGAGGUAACAGAGGUAAAUCCAGACUUUGACACACCAGCAUAAUGGUUGCAUGGUCAACAGUGGAAACUGAACUUGUGCGGUGUCAAGAGAAGGUUGACAUCAGGUCCUGUAUGUAAUGGAUUUUGCUACAGACACAACGUGGAAAGGCUGGUGAGCUCAUGGAAAUCCUUGAUCUUUUACAAAGCGUGAGCAGAACCCAGCUGGUGUUCUGGCUUCCUUUUAAUGGCUGAAUCACAGUAUGGCAGCCGACUACUGAAACGGUUUUGUGUGCAGCACAAGUCAGAUGAUUAGUCAAGGAGACACUUACGUGGAGCGCAGUCGGCUUAGAUUCCAGGAAACGCUGAAAAAGUCUGUGUGCUGGAUUUGACUGAGCACAACGUCAUGUCUCUCCCUUUACAGGAAGUUCAAGAGUGCCUGUAAUCAAGGCACUGAACCACUGCUCACCCCAAAGAGAUCAAUAAACUGUGGAUCUCCAUGGACAAAUCAAGGUUAUAACCUCAGCCAGCCAUGUAUGAAUAGUGCAAUGUGUGACAUACGUUACAAAGAGACUACCGGCCUCGUCACCUUUGUUAUCGAAUCCAAGUAAGAAAAAAAUUGCUUGUUUCUGUAUAUUCUAAUAAAAUAAUGCUUCAGUAUUGACACAAAUAAAGCAAACAAGGAAAGGCGUCCUGGAUCAAGAGUGAAAAACGAUUGUAAUCAUAUUUUGACAAAUAUAUCUACCUCAGUUACGGUUGGCCAAUAGAAUUAUUCGAUUCAAGUUAACAAAACUUUUCAAAAAAAUUUAACCUAGCUGUGUUUUUUAGUACUACAAGCUCUGAACACAACAUUGACCAUUGACAUUAAAUUGCUGUAUAGGGUGAACAUGUCAGCAACAGUAAACAGUCUGUGUUUGCACCCGUCAGACUCAAACCAACAUCCGCAAUCACAUUCAUUUGGAGUUCCUUAUUACUGGGCGAUUAUAAAUCCAAUAUUAACUCUUCUGGUUCAAUUUUAGUCCCCAACAGAUCCUAAGUGUGUGUCUGCGGUGCUCGGCAAGUCUGAUGCAUUUGUUUUUUUCAGCUGCAUCAGUACGGACGUGAUGAAUCCCUCCUGCGUGGAGCCCCUUGUAAAUAUUAGUGUCAAAGAAAGAAUCAUCAUUCAUCGUAUCUCUUCUGGGAAACGUCCUUUGCUUAUGAGGUCAAAAAGGUCAAUGCAAAGUACUCUUCAGAUUUAUAAAUAAGGAAGAAUACGUUUUUUUGAGAAGUGUUUGAGAAGAUUUUAUAUCAUCAGCCCUUUGAAGUGUGUUUGGUAGUUUGGAGACAGAUUGAAGGGAGUGUUUAUUGGUCGGCACAACUUAGGGUCCUGACCCAGAGAGAAGGAUAUGAGAAGAGGGAGGGAGGCCCGAUACAGAAAGACAUAAUAGAAACAAUCACAUGUUUCAUGAUGGAAUAUGAAAAAGGUGUUUGAAGACAAAACUGGGCCGUGAAAAGUUCAUUGCAAAUAGUUAAUAUUAUGCUGCCACCCAUUGCAUUGAUUUAAAAGUACAAUAGCAACAAAGCGGUUUUGCCUCCAGGUUCAAAGCCAGAGGAAUAGUUCAACAUUUUUGGAACAUGUACUUAAUAAUUAAAGAAAUGUGAUGUGACAUGAUGAAAGUCAUUACUGAUUUGCUUUGUUCCAUUUAGACUACUGUAUGUAAUCUGUCUAUGUGGAGGUUUGUGUGGGCUGUAUGUACCUUUCCAAGUACUAAUUAUUCUUGCGAGGUCCAAAAGGAAGACUCCUCUCGGUCCUCUGGGCUUAGUGUUAGGAUUAGCCUCGAGUUGGGGUCUGUUUAUGUUUCAGUCUGUGGCUGUGUGCGAGUUUCCUCCACUUCAAAGGCCGUGUGUGGCCCCUGAGGCCCUCAGAGACACCUCACAGGUGUUUCCUUUGAGUAGACACACACUGUCAACCUUUCAGUCGGGAGCCAAACGCUCUCUACCUAUAAAGCCUGGAAGGACACACGCUCCUCAAGGUGUAAAAGGCUCUUCAACCACCAAGCACUUGCGCUUUAACUCAAAAGCCAUCGGCAUCUGCUGGAGUGAAGUGCUAGAUGUGGCUCCUGCUGCUGCUGUGAAAAGUUAUUCGCUUUUACAGCCUGCUGCUUUGAGAUUAAAAGGCUGCUCAGGUCACACCGACACAGCUCCUAACUACUUAGCUGGGGAGAAAUAACACCACGGUUUUAACAGGCCCUGAGUUUAACACGUGUGAAAUACCUCGGGUCCACAAACUAAAUAGUCUAACACAAUUUCACAAUUUUCUAGCAUAGAUGUCCAGCAUCUUCACCCAGAGUCUGGGUGAAGCACACAUGUGUGGCCCACCGACCUCUUUCCCCUGGAAGGGGCACAUUAAGAGGGCAUGUUGUCGGUCUGGCUCUCUGGCUGUCUGGAUGGAGGAUUUCAUGGCUUGCCGCCUGUCUGUCCACCUCUGACUCUUUCUCUCACUCCGUCUCUCUUGCUGGUGCUGUCUCUCUCUCUUGGUACAUUGACCAAGGCGGAUGAUUCUGGAGAGGCGACCUAUAGGAAUCUCAUUUAUACCGAUACCUCACCGUCAUCCAAGUUCUUGACACAAGUUAAUUUGAUGUAUAUUCUCAACUAGAAUUCUAAAUCAAUGUAAUAGGAUCUUCAAUAAAUGCAUAUAACUGAUUCAAAAACCAAAGAAUCUUCAUUUCUGUUGCUCAUCCAGCUCCUUUGCUUUCAAGGUCAAAGGGUCAGCCUGAUGUUCUCGUUAGCCAGCAAGGAUUGAGAAAUCAAAAGGAUGAGUCAGGAGAGUCUCAUUAACAAUGUUUAGUCUGAAGUGAAGGAAAACAUGACGGGGUCA